This 819-nucleotide ribosomal RNA is filed under the name Triticum aestivum (bread wheat). RNAcentral's name for it is "partial small subunit ribosomal RNA". The record is from RNAcentral. Lineage: Eukaryota; Viridiplantae; Streptophyta; Magnoliopsida; Poales; Poaceae.
AUGACAAAUAUGGUUCGAUGGCUCUUCUCUACUAACCACAAGGAUAUUGGGACUCUCUAUUUCAUCUUCGAUGCCAUUGCAGGAGUGAUGGGCACAUGCUUCUCCGUACUGAUUCGUAUGGAAUUAGCCCUACCCGGCGAUCAAAUUCUUGGUGGGAAUCAUCAACUUUAUAAUGUUUUAAUAACGGCUCAUGCUUUUUUAAUGAUCUUUUUUAUGGUUAUGCCGGCGAUGAUAGGUGGAUUUGGUAAUUGGUUUGUUCCGAUUCUGAUAGGUGCACCUGACAUGGCAUUUCCACGAUUAAAUAAUAUAUCAUUCUGGUUGUUGCCACCAAGUCUCUUGCUCCUAUUAAGCUCAGCCUUAGUAGAAGUGGGCAGCGGCACUGGGUGGACAGUCUAUCCGCCCUUAAGUGGUAUUACCAGCCAUUCUGGAGGAGCAGUUGAUUUAGCAAUUUUUAGUCUUCAUCUAUCAGGUAUUUCAUCAAUUUUAGGUUCUAUCAAUUUUAUAACAACUAUCUUCAACAUGCGUGGACCUGGAAUGACUAUGCAUAGAUUACCACUUUUUGUGUGGUCCGUUCUAGUGACAGCAUUCCUACUUUUAUUAUCACUUCCGGUACUGGCGGGGGCAAUUACAAUGUCAUUAACCGAUCGAAACUUUAAUACAACCUUUUUGAUCCUGCAGGAGGGGGAGACCCAAUAUUAUACCAGCAUCUCUUUUGGUUCUUCGGUCAUCCAGAGCUGUAUAUUCUCAUUCUGCCUGGAUUUGGUAUUAUUAGUCAUAUCGUAUCGACCUUUUCAAGAAAACCGGUCUUCGGGUAUCUAG